Molecule: ribosomal RNA, 253 nt
Filed under: uncultured bacterium
Lineage: Bacteria
Description: partial 16S ribosomal RNA
Rfam family: Bacterial small subunit ribosomal RNA
Source: RNAcentral
UACGAAGGGGGCUAGCUUUGUUCGGAAUUACUGGGCGUAAAGCGCGUGUAGGCGGGUCUUUAAGUCAGGGGUGAAAUGCCAAGGCUCAACCUUGGAACUGCCUUUGAUACUGGAGACCUUGAGUCCGGGAGAGGUGAGUGGAAUUGCGAGUGUAGAGGUGAAAUUCGUAGAUAUUCGCAAGAACACCAGUGGCGAAGGCGGCUCACUGGCCCGGAACUGACGCUGAGACGCGAAAGCGUGGGGAGCAAACAGG